RNAcentral lists this unclassified non-coding RNA (205 nucleotides) under soil metagenome. RNAcentral's name for it is "partial contains 5.8S ribosomal RNA, internal transcribed spacer 2, and large subunit ribosomal RNA". The record is from RNAcentral.
AACACUGUUAACCUGCGGUACCUGCGGAAGGAUCAUUACCGAGUUUACAACUCCCAAACCCCUGUGAACAUACCUAUACGUUGCCUCGGCGGAUCAGCCCGCGCCCCGUAAAACGGGACGGCCCGCCCGAGGACCCUAAACUCUGUUUUUAGUGGAACUUCUGAGUAAAACAAACAAAUAAAUCAAAACUUUUAACAACGGAUCU